UGACUGGCAUUACAGUCGGUUAGAAUACCGGCCUGUCACGCCGGGGGUCGCGGGUUCGAGUCCCGUCCGCUCCGCCA
This 77-nucleotide transfer RNA is filed under the name Aeromonas veronii. RNAcentral's name for it is "tRNA-Asp". It matches the Rfam family "tRNA". From Rfam's summary of the family: Transfer RNA (tRNA) molecules are approximately 80 nucleotides in length. The record is from RNAcentral. Lineage: Bacteria; Pseudomonadati; Pseudomonadota; Gammaproteobacteria; Aeromonadales; Aeromonadaceae.